GGUUUAUAGUAACAGAGUAGUCCGCGC
RNAcentral lists this small RNA (27 nucleotides) under Bombyx mori (domestic silkworm). RNAcentral describes it as "ovarian small RNA-17593". Lineage: Eukaryota; Metazoa; Arthropoda; Insecta; Lepidoptera; Bombycidae. The record is from RNAcentral.